RNAcentral lists this ribosomal RNA (254 nucleotides) under uncultured bacterium. Its description in RNAcentral is "partial 16S ribosomal RNA". It matches the Rfam family "Bacterial small subunit ribosomal RNA", at positions 524 to 776 of the family's 1533-position model. The record is from RNAcentral.
GACGUAGGGCGCGAGCGUUGUCCGGAUUUAUUGGGCGUAAAGAGCUCGUAGGCGGCUUGUCCGCGUCGUCCGUGAAAACUUGGGGCUCAACCCCAAGCUUGCGGUCGAUACGGGCAGGCUCGAGUUCGGUAGGGGAGACUGGAAUUCCUGGUGUAGCGGUGAAAUGCGCAGAUAUCAGGAGGAACACCGGUGGCGAAGGCGGGUCUCUGGGCCGAUACUGACGCUGAGGAGCGAAAGCGUGGGGAGCGAACAGG